RNAcentral lists this ribosomal RNA (560 nucleotides) under Penaeus japonicus. Its description in RNAcentral is "partial large subunit ribosomal RNA". It matches the Rfam family "Bacterial large subunit ribosomal RNA", at positions 1797 to 2619 of the family's 2925-position model. Lineage: Eukaryota; Metazoa; Arthropoda; Malacostraca; Decapoda; Penaeidae. The record is from RNAcentral.
CGCCUGUUUAUCAAAAACAUGUCUAUAUGAUUGUUAUAUAAAGUCUAGCCUGCCCACUGAUUUGUUUUAAAGGGCCGCGGUAUAUUGACCGUGCGAAGGUAGCAUAAUCAUUAGUCUUUUAAUUGGAGGCUUGUAUGAAUGGUUGGACAAAAAGUAAGCUGUCUCGGUUAUAAUAAUUGAACUUAACUUUUAAGUGAAAAGGCUUAAAUGUUUCAGGGGGACGAUAAGACCCUAUAAAGCUUGACAAUAAUUUCGUUAUAUUAUAAAUUGUUAGUAUAACUUGAUUUUAACGGGAGUUUGUUUCGUUGGGGCGACGGGAAUAUAAUAAAUAACUGUUCUUUUAAAUAUAAUUACAAAAAUACUUGGUAAAUAAUUGAUCCUCUAUUAGAGAUUAAAAGAUUAAGUUACUUUAGGGAUAACAGCGUAAUCUUCUUUGAGAGUCCACAUCGACAAGAAGGUUUGCGACCUCGAUGUUGAAUUAAGGUAUCCUUAUAAUGCAGCAGUUAUAAAGGAGGGUCUGUUCGACCUUUAAAUCCUUACAUGAUCUGAGUUCAAACCGG